RNAcentral lists this ribosomal RNA (1275 nucleotides) under uncultured Acinetobacter sp. RNAcentral's name for it is "bacterial SSU rRNA". It matches the Rfam family "Bacterial small subunit ribosomal RNA", at positions 147 to 1421 of the family's 1533-position model. Lineage: Bacteria; Pseudomonadati; Pseudomonadota; Gammaproteobacteria; Moraxellales; Moraxellaceae. The record is from RNAcentral.
CAUUCCGAAAGGAAUGCUAAUACCGCAUACGCCCUACGGGGGAAAGCAGGGGACCUUCGGACCUUGCGCUAAUAGAUAAGCCUAAGUCAGAUUAGCUAGUUGGUGGGGUAAAGGCCUACCAAGGCGACGAUCUGUAGCGGGUCUGAGAGGAUGAUCCGCCACACUGGGACUGAGACACGGCCCAGACUCCUACGGGAGGCAGCAGUGGGGAAUAUUGGACAAUGGGCGCAAGCCUGAUCCAGCCAUGCCGCGUGUGUGAAGAAGGCCUUUUGGUUGUAAAGCACUUUAAGCGAGGAGGAGGCUACUUGGAUUAAUACUCUAGGAUAGUGGACGUUACUCGCAGAAUAAGCACCGGCUAACUCUGUGCCAGCAGCCGCGGUAAUACAGAGGGUGCGAGCGUUAAUCGGAUUUACUGGGCGUAAAGCGUGCGUAGGCGGCUUUUUAAGUCGGAUGUGAAAUCCCUGAGCUUAACUUAGGAAUUGCAUUCGAUACUGGGAAGCUAGAGUAUGGGAGAGGAUGGUAGAAUUCCAGGUGUAGCGGUGAAAUGCGUAGAGAUCUGGAGGAAUACCGAUGGCGAAGGCAGCCAUCUGGCCUAAUACUGACGCUGAGGUACGAAAGCAUGGGGAGCAAACAGGAUUAGAUACCCUGGUAGUCCAUGCCGUAAACGAUGUCUACUAGCCGUUGGGGCCUUUGAGGCUUUAGUGGCGCAGCUAACGCGAUAAGUAGACCGCCUGGGGAGUACGGUCGCAAGACUAAAACUCAAAUGAAUUGACGGGGGCCCGCACAAGCGGUGGAGCAUGUGGUUUAAUUCGAUGCAACGCGAAAAACCUUACCCACCUUUGACAUGUACGGAAGUUGCCAGAGAUGGCUUCGUGCUCGAAAGAGAACCGUAACACAGGUGCUGCAUGGCUGUCGUCAGCUCGUGUCGUGAGAUGUUGGGUUAAGUCCCGCAACGAGCGCAACCCUUGCCAUUAGUUGCUACGAAAGGGCACUCUAAUGGGACUGCCGGUGACAAACCGGAGGAAGGUGGGGAUGACGUCAAGUCCUCAUGGCCCUUAUAGGUGGGGCUACACACGUCAUACAAUGGCCGGUACAAAGGGCAGCCAACCCGCGAGGGGGAGCCAAUCCCAUAAAGCCGGUCGUAGUCCGGAUCGCAGUCUGCAACUCGACUGCGUGAAGUCGGAAUCGCUAGUAAUCGUGGAUCAGCAUGCCACGGUGAAUACGUUCCCGGGUCUUGUACACACCGCCCGUCACACCAUGGGAGCGGGUCUCGCC